This 74-nucleotide transfer RNA is filed under the name Reticulibacter mediterranei. RNAcentral describes it as "tRNA-Asn". It matches the Rfam family "tRNA". From Rfam's summary of the family: Transfer RNA (tRNA) molecules are approximately 80 nucleotides in length. Their secondary structure includes four short double-helical elements and three loops (D, anti-codon, and T loops). Lineage: Bacteria; Bacillati; Chloroflexota; Ktedonobacteria; Ktedonobacterales; Reticulibacteraceae. The record is from RNAcentral.
UCCUCGAUAGCUCAACGGUAGAGCAAUCGGCUGUUAACCGAUGGGUUACAGGUUCGAAUCCUGUUCGAGGAGCC